RNAcentral lists this non-coding RNA (25 nucleotides) under Drosophila erecta. RNAcentral also lists the same sequence under 1 other name. Lineage: Eukaryota; Metazoa; Arthropoda; Insecta; Diptera; Drosophilidae. The record is from RNAcentral.
UCGAGUUUGGGAAUUGUCUUCCUAU